GGCCUUUAGCCCACCAAGUAUUAAAGGUCCCGCCUGCCCAGUGAGCUCCCCGUUCAACGGCCGCGGUAUUAUAACCGUGCAAAGGUAGCGUAAUCACUUGUCUCCUAAAUAGAGACCCGUAUGAACGACUAGAUGAGGACAUACCUGUCUCCUGCGGCCAAUCAAUAAAACUGAUCUUUCAGUACAAAAGCUGAUAUAAUACCAUAAGACGAGAAGACCCUGUGGAGCUUAAAACACCCCCACUAACCAGCAGCCCCUGCCAUCUCCGGAUGUUCAUCAAUGCAAAUAGUAAGAAGUUUUAAGUUGGGGCGACUGUGGAAUACAAUAGACCUUCCACGUAUCAAGGCUAACCGCCAACUAAGGCCUACAAGCCAAAAACUUGACCCAGCAGCAAGCUGAUCAACGAACCAAGUUACCCCAGGGAUAACAGCGCUAUCCCCUUUAAGAGUUCCUAUCGACAGGGGGGCUUACGACCUCGAUGUUGGAUCAGGACACCCCGGUGGUGCAGCCACUACCAAAGGUUCGUUUGUUCAACGAUUAAAGUCCU
This 547-nucleotide ribosomal RNA is filed under the name Pseudogekko smaragdinus. RNAcentral describes it as "LSU rRNA". It matches the Rfam family "Bacterial large subunit ribosomal RNA", at positions 1817 to 2597 of the family's 2925-position model. Lineage: Eukaryota; Metazoa; Chordata; Lepidosauria; Squamata; Gekkonidae. The record is from RNAcentral.